Poecilia reticulata (guppy) is the source of this 512-nucleotide non-coding RNA. Lineage: Eukaryota; Metazoa; Chordata; Actinopteri; Cyprinodontiformes; Poeciliidae. The record is from RefSeq and is a predicted model, not a curated record.
GCAACAAUAAUCUUCUAAAAGAAAUAAUCAGGUCUUCUGUCAAUCAGCACUUUGGAGGACAACGUACAGCACCACAGCGCAGAAAGUGGAGGAAAAUUAUGUUCCCUCUCUCCAUCCAUUCUGUUUCCAUCCAUCCAUCUGUCCAACCAUCCAAGCGACCAACCAACCAACCAACCUGGUUCCCUUUAUCCUGGUUUUCUUCAUCCAUUCAUCCUGGUUCCACAUGCAAAUCUUGGAACCUUAAAGUGUUUUUUGUUAAAUAAAUCUAUGUUAAGCUAAAGUUUCAACAAAAUGCUGGAGUACGCUGAUUUCAUGGAACUAGCUUCAGCCAAUAAAGUCACGUUUUUAAGGCACACCACAAUACCCAGAGCUGUUUUCUCCAAAUAGGACCAGCUGCCACAUCAGAGAAGGUCAAGUUACCGAGUGACCAGAAUGAAAAGAUCUUCUCCUUGAGUUUCCUGAGAACAGCUCCAACAAUAUGUCACUCCUUCAGAAGUGGAUGUCAAUGUGAA